Molecule: transfer RNA, 644 nt
Filed under: Bartonella henselae
Lineage: Bacteria; Pseudomonadati; Pseudomonadota; Alphaproteobacteria; Hyphomicrobiales; Bartonellaceae
Description: partial 16S-23S ribosomal RNA intergenic spacer
Rfam family: tRNA (bases 110-183)
Source: RNAcentral
GCGAUCUAGACAAAACAAGUCCACCGUGGGCUUUGAAAAACGCUUUCCUUGAUAAAAUUUAAGCGUUUUAUAAGAGGAUGCCGGGGAAGGUUUUCCGGUUUAUCCCGGAGGGCUUGUAGCUCAGUUGGUUAGAGCGCGCGCUUGAUAAGCGUGAGGUCGGAGGUUCAAGUCCUCCCAGGCCCACCAGUUUAUCCAUUACUUUCAUAAGUGCUUUUAAAAAAUAAGUACUUCUAAAAAGAUUGCUUCUAAAAAGAUUGCUUCUAAAAAGAUUGCUUCUAAAAAGAUUGCUUCUAAAAAGCUUAUCAAAAUUGGCAGGCUUAUUGCUUUUGUGUGAGUAAUCCAAAGUUAAAGCAAAUUAAUGGCAAAAAAACAGUUCAAAUGCUAAAUACUAAGGAGUCAAAAUUCCUUGCAAAGUGAUUUUUACAGCGUCCAUUUGGUUGAUAUAAAUUCCAAAUGCUCAUAGACGUCAAUGCCUAUAUGAAACUAUCGGUUCAAUCAUAUCGCUUUGAGUUAUAUAGAUUUUGUAAUCCCUCUUUUGAUCGUUUUAAACGCUUUAUCCUGAUUUAGGGGCCGUAGCUCAGCUGGGAGAGCACCUGCUUUGCAAGCAGGGGGUCGUCGGUUCGAUCCCGUCCGGCUCCACCAUA